GAUGAACGCUGGCGGCGUGCCUAAUACAUGCAAGUCGAGCGAACAGACGAGGAGCUUGCUCCUCUGACGUUAGCGGCGGACGGGUGAGUAACACGUGGAUAACCUACCUAUAAGACUGGGAUAACUUCGGGAAACCGGAGCUAAUACCGGAUAAUAUAUUGAACCGCAUGGUUCAAUAGUGAAAGACGGUUUUGCUGUCACUUAUAGAUGGAUCCGCGCCGCAUUAGCUAGUUGGUAAGGUAACGGCUUUCCAAGGCAACGAUGCGUAGCCGACCUGAGAGGGUGAUCGGCCACACUGGAACUGAGACACGGUCCAGACUCCUACGGAAGGCAGCAGUAGGGAAUCUUCCGCAAUGGGCGAAAGCUUGACGGAGCAACGCCGCGUGAGUGAUGAAGGUCUUCGGAUCGUAAAACUCUGUUAUUAGGGAAGAACAAAUGUGUAAGUAACUAUGCACGUCUUGACGGUACCUAAGCAGAAAGCCACGGCUAACUACGU
RNAcentral lists this ribosomal RNA (496 nucleotides) under uncultured bacterium. Its description in RNAcentral is "partial 16S ribosomal RNA". It matches the Rfam family "Bacterial small subunit ribosomal RNA", at positions 28 to 506 of the family's 1533-position model. The record is from RNAcentral.